Molecule: ribosomal RNA, 321 nt
Filed under: uncultured bacterium
Lineage: Bacteria
Description: bacterial SSU rRNA
Rfam family: Bacterial small subunit ribosomal RNA
Source: RNAcentral
ACGGAAUAGAUACCCCCGGUAGUCCACGCCCUAAACGAUGUCUACUAGUUGUCGGGGAUUCAUUUCCUUGGUAAACGCAGCUAAACGCGUGAAAGUAGACCGCCUGGGGAGUACGGCCGCAAGGUUAAAACCUCAAAGGAAUUGACGGGGACCCGCACAAGCGGUGGAUGAUGUGGAUUAAUUCGAUGCAACGCGAAAAACCCUUACCUACGCUUGACAUGCCAGGAACUUUCCAGAGAUGGAUUGGUGCCCGAAAGGGAACCUGGACACAGGUGCUGCAUGGCUGUCGUCAGCUCGUGUCGUGAGAUGUUGGGUUAACGU